This 455-nucleotide ribosomal RNA is filed under the name Aeromonas hydrophila. RNAcentral describes it as "bacterial SSU rRNA". It matches the Rfam family "Bacterial small subunit ribosomal RNA", at positions 78 to 525 of the family's 1533-position model. Lineage: Bacteria; Pseudomonadati; Pseudomonadota; Gammaproteobacteria; Aeromonadales; Aeromonadaceae. The record is from RNAcentral.
GCUUGCUACUUUUGCCGGCGAGCGGCGGACGGGUGAGUAAUGCCUGGGAAAUUGCCCAGUCGAGGGGGAUAACAGUUGGAAACGACUGCUAAUACCGCAUACGCCCUACGGGGGAAAGCAGGGGACCUUCGGGCCUUGCGCGAUUGGAUAUGCCCAGGUGGGAUUAGCUAGUUGGUGAGGUAAUGGCUCACCAAGGCGACGAUCCCUAGCUGGUCUGAGAGGAUGAUCAGCCACACUGGAACUGAGACACGGUCCAGACUCCUACGGGAGGCAGCAGUGGGGAAUAUUGCACAAUGGGGGAAACCCUGAUGCAGCCAUGCCGCGUGUGUGAAGAAGGCCUUCGGGUUGUAAAGCACUUUCAGCGAGGAGGAAAGGUUGAUGCCUAAUACGUAUCAACUGUGACGUUACUCGCAGAAGAAGCACCGGCUAACUCCGUGCCAGCAGCCGCGGUAAUA